Long non-coding RNA from Leptinotarsa decemlineata (Colorado potato beetle), 1627 nucleotides. NCBI's taxonomy places the organism in Eukaryota, Metazoa, Arthropoda, Insecta, Coleoptera, Chrysomelidae. The record is from RefSeq and is a predicted model, not a curated record.
CAUCACGGACAUCAUCAUCAUCAUGGACACUAGGAAAAAGAUUUGGCUCAGGUUAUAAAAUUACAAAGUGGUAUCUAUUGAACAGUUCACAUGUUUCCUUUGAGACAAAAAUGUUUCCUAGAUUUGAAACCUGGAUUUCUGUGGAAUUACUAUUUGACGGAAGAAAUAAUCAUUCAAUUAAUUUUUCUGAGGCUGGAAUACAAAAUAAACACUUACUUUAUAUACCAAAAAAUGUAUUUGAACUUUUAUUUGACUGAGGUCUUAUUAUUUUACUAUUUUACUGGCAACGCUGUAAUAGCGCCACUGUUAGUAUUGCAUCAAAUCAGUCAGACAGCCGUGGAUUUGAAAGAGUUACUUCUACACUCAGUAGGACGUCUGUUUGUAAAAAAUUUUAUAUUGGGAACCAAUUAUUGUCUGUGCUUGGUUGGCGUUAUUGUGUAUAAUGAAGUUGGAUAUCAGACAUCUUGAAACUUAAAACUUCUGGAAGGAAUUUUACUGGUGUAUCUAUAUAGAAAACGCUAGCAAUUUCUAUAAAAGGUAUCCUACAUCACAUUCAGUAGUCCUGUUAUACAUCGCACUAGUGCAUUAUUCAGUUUCUGUGGCAAUUGUUCCUCUGGUGGAAAUUUGAAAAAUGCAUUGAAAAGUGGAUAAGCUAUCGAUUUGGCUCCGGAAGUAAUCAAGGCUGAAAAAUCCGAUUCAGUGUCAACCAACACUCCUAGGCGUGGUUUAACACCCUCUGGUGUAGGACAGCAAAAUUCCGAUUCAGAAAAUACACCGCUUACUAGAGUACACCAACUAUCUGUUUCUUAUAUUAUGACAGUUUUUGUCUUUGUUUCAGUAAAAAAAAGAUGGGUAUUCAAAGUGAAAUAAUUUUUUUUCAAAAAGAUAAAGACUUCACUGAAAUUGAAGACGAUUUUUUGUAAUUUUUCUGCAAAUCUAAAGAAGAAUCUUAUUUGAGGAUAUUUUCAAAUUCUGAUCCGAUUUCCGAGACCUUAGCUCCUUUGGACAUAUUGUCAGAUUCCACUUUUAAGGCAAUAUGUGAUACUAAUAUAUUUGAUAGAACUAAUAGCUCUACAUCUAUGUUAUCAAUUAGCUAAAGAAUGGAAAAUAUUUUAGAUGUAGAUGAUCUACAAACAUAAAUUACUCGUGGCGGGCAGUACAUAAUAGACGAGUACCAGAAGAAUAAACUGUUGACUGACAGAAGCAGAAACAUAGCUGCAAAUGUGCUUUAUGAAAAAUAUGGGAGUGCAGUACCCAAGAGUGCAAAAAUGGAGUGCGCAAAAAAAUUAGUUGAUAUUUUCCCACUGUACACAAAUUCGGAAAGUUCUUCAGGGGAUUACGAAUUUUUUUUCAACCCUAGGUAACUUUUCAGGUAUCCUGAAAAUCGACUGACAAUUUUAAAUAGAAUAAGUAAAAUAGAGAUAAACAAUCCUCCUGCCAACCACCUUCAUGACCAGAAUGUUUCGAUAACAUCAGAGGAAAUUAAUCUUACUAAAGAACUCCAAAAUCUGUUUUUAUUUAAUAAUAUUCUUAAGUUUGAAUUAUUGAUAUUUUGGUAUCAGACCAAUUGUCAACAAAAAUCAUGUCAGUUAGGUUUUCUAUUAUUUCUAAUAAACGUUAUUUUUAU